RNAcentral lists this ribosomal RNA (253 nucleotides) under uncultured bacterium. RNAcentral's name for it is "partial 16S ribosomal RNA". It matches the Rfam family "Bacterial small subunit ribosomal RNA", at positions 524 to 776 of the family's 1533-position model. The record is from RNAcentral.
CACGUAGGGGACGAGCGUUGUCCGGAUUCAUUGGGCGUAAAGCGCGCGUAGGCGGCUUUGCAAGUCGGGUGUGAAAUCCCCAGGCUUAACCUGGGAACUGCAUUCGAGACUGCAUUGCUAGAGUAUGGGAGGGGGAAGUGGAAUUUCCGGUGUAGCGGUGAAAUGCGUAGAUAUCGGAAGGAACAUCAGUGGCGAAAGCGACUUCCUGGACCAAUACUGACGCUCAUGUGCGAAAGCGUGGGGAGCAAACAGG